GCGCAUGCACACACGCCGGCUGCGGCCAAUUCUCGCGGGACCCGGCGUUCUCGCUAUAAAAAGUCACCAGAGGGGCUCUUCCUUCCUUUCCCAUUUGAUAACUGUGCAGGUGCAAGAAGUUGGUUGUCAGCUGGUAAGCAUAGUCUUCCACUCUGCAGCUGAAUGGCCUGGAAACAAUAACUGAAUGAAUGGAUAUCCUUGCAGGCAUCCAGGUGAGUACUGUGAAGAAUGGCAAAUGAACAGAUUUCAGAUGAGCCAGUUGAAAACAGAGGGGCAGUUCAGUCGUCUAGCUGAUCUUCCGUUGAGACGUGGAAGAAGUGUUCAUCAUUGUGGCCCGAAUCCCUGGCGGAGUGCUCCCUAAUACUUUGCAACCAGCUAAAGUAUGAAUAUAUGUUUUAUUUGGACCUGUGGAAGUGAAGGCAAUGAGAACCUAUGACAGUUUAAAUAAAUUAUUCGAUCCCUAGGCUUGUGCAAUAUGGGCAUUUUCAGAGGUAUCAUGCUUGGUAGAUAUGGACAAAUGAAUGUGUCAGACAGUAAAUUCUCUAAUCUCUGUUUAAAAUGACAAUAUCUAUACCAUGUUAUUUUACUGUAAAAAUUGUCGUUCU
Molecule: long non-coding RNA, 605 nt
Organism: Pogona vitticeps (central bearded dragon)
Lineage: Eukaryota; Metazoa; Chordata; Lepidosauria; Squamata; Agamidae
Source: RefSeq, a predicted model, not a curated record